RNAcentral lists this long non-coding RNA (1580 nucleotides) under Triticum aestivum (bread wheat). RNAcentral describes it as "long non-coding RNA (TAES_LNC006963)". The record is from RNAcentral. Lineage: Eukaryota; Viridiplantae; Streptophyta; Magnoliopsida; Poales; Poaceae.
AGGCUGCCGGGAGGGGCGGCGCGUGGGAGGGAGGCUGUGUCCACAUGUGGUACUAAGUUGUUUCUGGGUUACAUUGAAGCUUAUCUUGUUCCUUAGUUGAUUUAGACAUCAAAUAUAUAACCUCUGUUUUUUAUCAGCAAACAGGUGAACUAAUAAAGGAAGACUUCUUCCAUAAAUAGUAGUACAUUUACUAUGCAGAUGAUUUGACAAGUAAGCAAACAAGUCAGCAUCUCACUUUAUUAUUUAAGUUGUUUUCCACAUCUGAAUCUUUGCUUGAAUCACUUGAUUGUUAAAUCUAUUUGUUGUUGCCGUACAAUGAUUUUCUAUUUUCCUUGUGGUGCAAUUUUUGUUGAUUCAGAAAGAUGGCCCUGCUCAUCGGGCUCAAGCAGCAGCGAGCAAGGCCAGCGACAACGGAAAUGUUGUGGCUGGCGCCCAUGCACCUCUACCUGACUUCAAUGCACCUUUGUGUUUUGUGAGUAUAUAGAGAUAAUAAUACGCAGAUUCAGUUAUCUAUAUGCAGAAAGUUUCCUUGUUUUCUUUUAGUAAUUAUGUAGAACAUCAAUAUUCAAUAUUAGAUGACACAUAGGCCACAUCAUCCAGUAAAUGUGUUAAUCAUAAUAAAUCAUGGACGGUUGCUGACAUUGGAUAUUCAUAGAAUGCUAAUAAGUUACAUCCUCGAGUAAUAUGAGAGUAUUUAGAUUUUGGUGGAGCUAAACUAUACAACAUGAUGCACAAAUUCUUGUUGAUUGCAGCAUUUUAAAAUGUCGACAAUUCCCAGGUUUGCAUUUAUUUGGUGGUGUGCCUGUGGAACUUUGUGAGAACUUGAGUAUUACGAGUAUACCAUUUCUGUAGGUAAUCAUUUUCCAACAACCUGAUGGUUUGUGCAGACCAUCAGGUACAUAAUAGCAAUAUCUUAACUAUUUUAAUAUUCUUUACGAACCAUCGUCAAAGAAUACAAGAUAUACUUAUUGUUAGUUCUUCGUUGACACCUACUGUUCUUACUGAACUGUAAUUGUUAACAAUAUGUAGUACUGUAGGAUUAAUGGACAGAAGGUUCUGUUGUCCAGUUGAUGCUACUAAUUUUGGCCCUACCAAAGUAUCUCUUCUGCAUGAUAUAUACUUAUUGUUAGUUCUUCGUUGACACCUACUAUUCUUACUGAACUGUAAUUGUUAACAAUAUGUAGUACUGUGGGAUCAAUGGACGUAAGGUUCUGUUGUCCAGUUGAUGCUACUAAUUUUGGCCCUACCAAAGUAUCUCUUUUGCAUGAUAUCUUCUUAAAUAUGAAAAUGAGGAAGUCAGUAUCUCGGCAGCAUGCAGGCAACUUAGCCAAUGAUGUAGGAGGAUCCAGUUCUUUUGGAGUCAAAUUUUUGGACUGGUAGUGUAUAUUCUGAAUUAUUUUGUAAACAAAUGUGAGGAGUGGGAGACGUCUGCAGUUGUAAAAUUUACUUGUGCGGGUGGAGGUUCUGGUUUUAAGAUCGUAUUGUUAUUUAUCAUUUUCCGUUGUAAUUGUUUACUAAUUAUGACAUGCUUUUUCUUUCUUCUGGGUAUGAACCAUUAUUUUUGGAUUCACUGGAACAAG